UACGAAGGGGGCUAGCGUUGUUCGGAAUUACUGGGCGUAAAGCGCGCGCAGGCGGCUAUCCAAGUCAGUGGUGAAAGCCCGGAGCUUAACUCCGGAACUGCCAUUGAAACUGUUUAGCUGGAGUAUGAGAGAGGUGAGUGGAAUUCCCAGUGUAGAGGUGAAAUUCGUAGAUAUUGGGAAGAACACCAGUGGCGAAGGCGGCUACCUGGACCAGCAUUGACACUCAAGCACGAAAGCGUGGGGAGCAAACAGG
Molecule: ribosomal RNA, 253 nt
Filed under: uncultured bacterium
Lineage: Bacteria
Description: partial 16S ribosomal RNA
Rfam family: Bacterial small subunit ribosomal RNA
Source: RNAcentral